Molecule: ribosomal RNA, 387 nt
Filed under: uncultured bacterium
Lineage: Bacteria
Description: bacterial SSU rRNA
Rfam family: Bacterial small subunit ribosomal RNA
Source: RNAcentral
AUUGAACGCUGGCGGCAUGCCUUACACAUGCAAGUCGAGCGGCAGCGCGGGGGCAACCCUGGCGGCGAGCGGCGUACGGGUGAGUAAUGCAUCGGAACGUGUCCUCUUGUGGGGGAUAACCAGUCGAAAGACUGGCUAAUACCGCAUGAGAUCGCAAGAUGAAAGCAGGGGACCCGCAAGGGCCUUGCGCGAGAGGAGCGGCCGAUGCCCGAUAGCUAGUUGGCGGGGUAAAAGCCCACCAAGGCGACGAUCGGUAGCUGGUCUGAGAGGACGACCAGCCACACUGGGACUGAGACACGGCCCAGACUCCUACGGGAGGCAGCAGUGGGGAAUUUUGGACAAUGGGGGCAACCCUGAUCCAGCCAUGCCGCGUGUGUGAAGAAGGCC